This 504-nucleotide ribosomal RNA is filed under the name uncultured bacterium. RNAcentral's name for it is "bacterial SSU rRNA". It matches the Rfam family "Bacterial small subunit ribosomal RNA", at positions 24 to 518 of the family's 1533-position model. The record is from RNAcentral.
UCAGGAUGAACGCUAGCUACAGGCUUAACACGAUGCAAGUCGAGGGGCAGCAUCAGGUUAGCUUGCUAACCUGGAUGGCGACCGGCGCACGGGUGAGUAACGCGUAUCCAACUUCCCCCUGCUCAGGGAUAGCCCGGUGAAAACCGGAUUAAGACCUGAUAGUUUCACUAGAUGGCAUCUGACGGUGAAUAAAGGUUUCGGCAUGGGAUGGGGAUGCGUCUGAUUAGCUUGUUGGCGGGGUAACGGCCCACCAAGGCGACGAUCAGUAGGGGUUCUGAGAGGAAGGUCCCCCACAUUGGAACUGAGACACGGUCCAAACUCCUACGGGAGGCAGCAGUGAGGAAUAUUGGUCAAUGGGCGGAAGCCUGAACCAGCCAAGUAGCGUUGCAGGAAGACGGCCCUAUGGGUUGUAAACUGCUUUUGUGCGGGAAUAAAGUCAGGGACGCGUCCCUGUUUGCAUGUACCGCAAGAAUAAGGACCGGCUAAUUCCGUGCCAGCCGCCGC